AUUGAACGCUGGCGGCAGGCCUAACACAUGCAAGUCGAACGAGUGGCGGACGGGUGAGUAAUGUCUGGGACACUGCCUGGUGGAGGGCGAUCACUACUGGAAACUGUUGCCACUUCCGCCUACCUUCGGAUGGGCCCAGGUGGGAUUAGCUUGUUGGUGGGGCAAAGGCCCACCACGGCGACGAUCCCUACCUGGUCUGAGAGGAUGCCCAGCCACACUGGAACUGAGACACGGUCCAGACUCCUACGGGAGGCAGCAGUGGGGAAUAUUGGACAAUGGGCGAAAGCCUGAUGCAGCCAUGCCGCGUGUGUGAAGAAGGCCUUCGGGUUGUAAAGUACUUUCAGUGGGGAGGCGUUACCCGCAGAAUAAGCACCGGCUAACUCCGUGCCAGCCGCCGCGGUAAUUC
This 406-nucleotide ribosomal RNA is filed under the name uncultured bacterium. RNAcentral's name for it is "partial 16S ribosomal RNA". It matches the Rfam family "Bacterial small subunit ribosomal RNA", at positions 30 to 526 of the family's 1533-position model. The record is from RNAcentral.